GGCGGAUGUAGCCAAGUG
RNAcentral lists this transfer RNA (18 nucleotides) under Pyrus calleryana (callery pear). Its description in RNAcentral is "partial tRNA-His". RNAcentral also lists the same sequence under 51 other names. Lineage: Eukaryota; Viridiplantae; Streptophyta; Magnoliopsida; Rosales; Rosaceae. The record is from RNAcentral.